Molecule: long non-coding RNA, 808 nt
Organism: Felis catus (domestic cat)
Lineage: Eukaryota; Metazoa; Chordata; Mammalia; Carnivora; Felidae
Exons: 4
Source: RefSeq, a predicted model, not a curated record
UGGAACUUUAAAUUCUUUCAGCAAAUAAAAAGGAAACAACAGCAAACAUUAGAAAGAGGUUGAAGAAAACAGAAAACCAGAGUAGGGACAGAAGGUCUUCUUCACCUAAGCUCUUUGUGAAUACGAAUACAUUAGCAUCUCUGGCUGAAUGAGUACCUAGCAGCAACCUCACAAUAUAUCUAAGUUAUCACAGGGAGGAGUAACAUAAUUGGUGAUAUUUAUGAAAAAAAAUAAGUAGCAGGAAGAGUGGUCCAAGAUGGCAUUGCAGGAAGAUUCCAAACUCCCAUGGACACACCGAAUCUACAGCUACAUAUGGAUCAUUUCCCUCUGGAAUAGAUCUGAAAACUAGGUUCCCAGCACAGAGCUUCUGAAACCCUUGGUGUUUCCUGAGUUGUCGAGUGUUUAUUAUUCAUAAAGCCCUUGGCUCAUAAAUGAGACUACACUAAUGAGACUUACAUAGGCCUCCAGAUAGCUAUGGCCUGGGGCAUGGUCAUCAGCAAGACCAACCCCUUGAUCAGAGAGUUGGGACUUUGAGUCAGGCUGAACUCUGGAGAGAGGAAUGAAGCUAGACAUUGAGUUCAACAUGCCACCAAUGAUUUAAUCAAUUGAACCCCAAGAUACCCUCUGGACACAGGCUCAGUAGAACUUCCUGGUUAAUGGAUGCACUGAUGCACCAGGAGGGUGACCCACACUAAUUUCAUGAGGAGAAGGCAUGGAAGCUCUGAGUUUUGAGGCCUCCCAAACUGUACCUUAUGUAUCUCUUCAUUUGGCUGGCCUAGAUUUUUAUCCUUUACAAUAAAAUUUUAAU